UUUCUUUUCUUUUCUUUUUUUUUUUUUUUUGACCCUUUUCUAAAGCACCAGGAGCAUGCUGUCUCUCUGACCUUUUUCUUUUCUUUUCAACCCUUUCUUUUCUAAAGCACCAGGAGGACCUCUUUCUCUGGAAGUUCCCUUACCUGAUUAAGAACACUUCUAAAAUAAAUGCAGCCGUCUUAAAGCCCCCUCCCUAUGAAUCUCAUUAAAUAACCAGGAAUGAUUAAUCACCCAAGAAAAGACUGAAAAAGAAGCUACAGCCAGGAUACCAUACCCAGACAGACUUUUCGUCUUUUCUUCUGAGGGAGGUUCCAAGAGAUAACCUGGGAGACUGUAUCUGCAUAAUAAGACAACCUUAGUUCACAGUGCAGUACCACCCCUCACCUUCCAUGACUUGUCCACAAGCUAUUGUUUGUCCUUCAGUCCCAUUCAGCAUCCAAAGAGAACCAUUUGCAAACCACUGUCAGGUAUUUGGGUCCAUUCAUUUACAGCCCCCCAGCUCCCUUUCCCUAGUGAAGAGAGUAUUUAAGUGCCAACCAUUGGGCCUUUCUGUGUAUGUUCAUAUUUUUUAUAUGGCUUCCCUGCUUCAUGCAUGUUAAUAAAUUUGUUAUGAUUUUCU
This 619-nucleotide long non-coding RNA is filed under the name Homo sapiens (human). RNAcentral's name for it is "novel transcript". Lineage: Eukaryota; Metazoa; Chordata; Mammalia; Primates; Hominidae. The record is from RNAcentral.